Molecule: long non-coding RNA, 1472 nt
Organism: Arvicola amphibius (Eurasian water vole)
Lineage: Eukaryota; Metazoa; Chordata; Mammalia; Rodentia; Cricetidae
Exons: 4
Source: RefSeq, a predicted model, not a curated record
CCUGCAGGUGUGCCUGGUUAGGAAACUUCCUUUGUUGCUUGCUAGACUGCUUAUGCUUUUAAUAUUAAAACUAUGUAUCAAGUAGGUAAUGGUUACCAGGUGGGAAAGUUGGGGAACAGAAGCAGAAUGAGGUGCUUAUUGUAGCGAGGACAAAUUGAGCAAUCUACUAUUUGAAUUACAUCACUUGCAACUUCACUUCCCUCGGCAAGAGUUUCCGGGAAUAAUGGCCAAAAUAAAGUGCACAGAGAGGCUUUGAGAAGACUAUGACAAUGGCUCUUCCUGUAGAACGCUGCCAGAAAUGAAAACCAACCAUGACAGUUUUUCCUGUUCUGAGCUCCUGCCCCUUGCUACCAUGAUGGACUCCCCUGGAACCCUCAGCCCAGAGGAACUCUGUUUUUUUCAGCUGCUUUUGGUCAUGGCAUUUUUAUCACAGCCACAGAAAGAAAAGUGAUUAAGACAGUGCUCUGGGCAUCAAAAUAAACAAUAUUUGGGGACUUUAUAAGAUAGAAAGGAAACUGAAGUUCAAGCCCAAUGUUGGCAUACAUCACCUCUAUAACAAGGAGAUGCACCGGGAAGGGGUUCAAGGUCUUUGAGGAACAUUGUUUUCUUGUUCCUAGUCUUGACCUCUGCGGUCAGCAGAACUCCGGUGCACGUUGGUGGGGCUCUAAGACCGUCAAACACUGGCUUCCCGAAAACACCUUGUCCUGAGACACCUUGUUCAGAGAGCAAAGCCAGUUUUAUUGGUUACUGCUGUGUGGUGAUCACUGCCUCCCCGGUCUUGGGGAUAGUCUUGCUAAGGGUAUCAGCAGCGUCUGUGUAAAGUGUUCAGGGUUUACCCCGGAACUUCUAAUUCCUGGUUAGCUCUGACAAACCUAGUUCCCGAAAGCUUGAGUUUCCAGGCAAAUACUGAAAAGGAAGCCAUUAUCUGAGGAGCUUAAUUAAGGUAUCUGGUUUGAAAGAAGGUAAAUUGAUCUAGUGUCCAGAUGGGUGGAAUUUUGGUACGUUCCGGAGGUAAGCAAUAGUUAUAGCAAUUAUAAUUAUAAACUCCCUGGCAAGCGCUUCCUGUAACAGUGAGUUUAUGUUAGUGCAGACAGUUGAAUUGCUGCGUGCUGUGGACGGAAAGUUGUAGAGAGGGUUUCAGUUGUCAAUACUUCCCCCCAACGCACACAGUGUUUUUUCUUGUUGAGACUUUGGAAAUUUCGGUUCAGGAGCCAUAUGAAAUGUUGCAUCAGUUUGCAAAGUUCUUUCUGUUUUCGGUGACACUUUUUCGUUUAGUUGACUUAGAAUUUGCUUUAUUCUGUUGUCAGUUGAGAUUUAUUUUGUAAAAUGAAAUUAAAAUGCCAACAGAGCAUUUAGAGUGCAUAAUGGCCUCUAAAACGAGAACAUCCAGGCUCGAUCAACAUAACUUUUUCCAUUUUAAGUCAUGGUCAAAAUUGGAAGGAAAAAAUUUUAAAGUAUGAUUUCUUUUUUUC